CCCUUAGAUGUUCUGGGCCGCACGCGCGCUACACUGAACAGUUCAACAAGUCUUAACCUUGGCCGAUAGGUCUGGGUAAUCUUUGAACGCUGUUCGUGAUUGGGAUAGACCUUUGCAAUUAUGGGUCUUCAACGAGGAAUUCCUAGUAAACGCAAGUCAUCAGCUUGCAUUGAUUACGUCCCUGCCCUUUGUACACACCGCCCGUCGCACCUACCGAUUGAAUGGUCCGGUGAAAUCUCGGGACGGCGGCUUGGUCGCUUGCGUCCGACUGCUGAAACUUGAUUAAACCAUAUCAUCUAGAGGAAGGUGAAGUCGUAACA
RNAcentral lists this ribosomal RNA (320 nucleotides) under uncultured eukaryote. Its description in RNAcentral is "partial 18S ribosomal RNA". It matches the Rfam family "Eukaryotic small subunit ribosomal RNA", at positions 1470 to 1796 of the family's 1831-position model. The record is from RNAcentral.